CCUGCUCAAUGAACUUUAAAUAGCCGCUAUUUGUGCUAAGGUAGCAUAAUAAAUUACUCUCCAAUUAAGAGAUAGCAUGAAAGGAAACACGAUUUAUCUAUUGCAUCAAACCAUUAAUCCUAAAUUUCACUUAUCAGUAAAAACCCAAUAAACAGCAUAGCAGGACGACAAGACCCUGCCGAACUUAUCCACAUAAUUUCACUGGGAAGGUAAAAAACAAAAACUUUACACCCCCCCCCCUCAAUUUACGCCCUACCCGAAUAAAAUUAAGUUACCACAGGGAUAACAGCAUAAUAAUUUUAAAAAGCCCUCAUACAAUAAAUUGAUUAUGACCUCGAUGUUGAAUUAACCCCCCUCUAUAUAAAAAAAAAAAAAAAAGGUAGUCUGUUCGACUCUUGAAAUGUUACAU
RNAcentral lists this ribosomal RNA (409 nucleotides) under Speocera aff. octodentis OC016A. RNAcentral's name for it is "partial large subunit ribosomal RNA". The record is from RNAcentral. Lineage: Eukaryota; Metazoa; Arthropoda; Arachnida; Araneae; Ochyroceratidae.